UCUAGCCAACCGGUUGAGCCCCGUGCAUUUGGUGCCCUUUGUUUUAUUUUUAUAGUCGCCGCUUAUCCCGGCUAUUCGUGAAGCUGUGUGUCUGUGUGUCACCCGCUUUCUUCUUGCUGCCCACGUAACAGACCCACCACCGCCACACAGCUGCUCUAUCCUUCCGACCUGCACGAUCAUGGGUCUCUAUCAAGCGAGGUGCCCAAUGACAGCACUCCUCUCCCGUGAAGUGGCACAGCACUGGCGGCGGCCGCUGCUCCCAUUUGCCACUGCGCCAGUCGGACCUCUCCCGUGGCUUCGCCCAGCCUUGCCGCUGUUUAUCUAGGAGGAAGCAGAUGAUAGGAGGCAGCACCUCCUGCAUCAACAAGGCUACAACAGGCAGUGCAGCCAUGGGAGCAAGCAAACCUUUUGUUUCUCAUGGGCUGCUGGCGCCGACGACUCCACAACACCCAGCCAUACGAGCUUUGCGGGGGUUCCAGGACCACGGGCACGUAGAUCACGGUCUCGGUGACGAGCCUGGGGGCCACCGGCACGGGUAUUCUGGCGUCUAGGUGAUCUAUUCACCCUCCUACCCUUCCUCAAUCAUCUCGAUCUGGCCAUCUCUCUUUCAUCUUCUUUUAGUACAGAUACUUAUGAAAUCACCUGAAGAGGGGACGAGGGCGCGUCGGCAGAUGACCGGUUCCCCACGGUUGACCUGCAAUUCUGCCCUGGGGAGCAACACCACAGCCGGUGCGUCAACCAUGAGCCUCCUGCGACCGCGCUCACCUCUACUGGCCGACAAGGGCUUCGGCAAAGCGCCUUACACCAUCAUCCCAUGGAGUCGCUCCUAUCUCCGUGAUUUGCUUGCAACACCCUCGCUUUUGGCCGAGCCACUGUGAUCCAGCUCCAUUCACACAUCAGCGAGACGUCCGAUAGUCGUGGCCGGGUGGCUCAGUCUUCGCCACAUCUAUAUACGCAUGGAGAAGUUUAUUUGCAGCACAUAAGAAAAAAUCAUGGACAAAGGCAAUAACUUGAACUCCAAGAGCUGUGACCGUAUAUCACUGUCGUUCUUACUCCACCGAGUUUAGCAAACAAAGCUAUCCAAUUACGUCAUGCAUGAUCAUAAUUUAUAAAUAGCUUCCACUCUGCUUGAGGUUCUGGUUGAGUAAGAACGAAGUUGAGGAAUGAGGACAGCCAAAGGGAUGUAGGCGAGGUCAUUCAUGGAAGAAAAAGAAGACAAGGAAUAUCCAAUCGGAGUCGGUUACAAAAUCGACCCGCAGUUGCAAGAUCAAGAUUAAGAAGUGUCCUUUUCCUUGCUAGAUAAAGGUUUGGCUCUGUAUUUUAAGAAGUAAACUUCACACAAACCAAAGGCGAGUGCUGGUGCAAACGAGACCAUCUUACACGCAGAAUCGACUCCAUUAAGUGUCCAAGCGUCAUCACUUUUUUGAUAUCGCGAAAGACUGUUUAAUCACGAUUUUGUACAGGUGCUGCUUACCACUUAUCUCUAAAGAGUAUAGUUUUGUAGAGGAUAACUAAUUUUGUUGAGGGCUGAGAGCAUAUAAUGAGUACAGACUGUCCGCAACCAUAAACUGUCCACGACUAUAAAAGAAGAACAUUGGGUCCAAACUAUACUCCUGACAUGAGUACACACUAGUAUGACCUACCAGACUACGCCAUGAUAUUGUUCACCCGGAAUCGUAAUUAAGAGGUUGGAAGAUUACCACAGUCCUCUUACAGCAAUCCAUAUUAUCCGACGGGCGUGGCAUGCCGCCGCGCCAAAGCUUCCUAGUAUGGUGUUAAGGAAAGAACUGUGUGUACUAGCACUACCCUAUAAUGCUUGGAAAUACUUUAGAAAGGUGCUAUGUAAAGGAAACUGCAUUGCAUGUAAGAAUUGUUGAGUCAACUUGUACCCUGUGAGGGCGAGACAAUGAACACUGGCCCUGAAACUGUUAACAGCCGUGGGCCACAAACA
This is a long non-coding RNA of Lolium perenne, 1951 nucleotides long. RefSeq lists it as uncharacterized. NCBI's taxonomy places the organism in Eukaryota, Viridiplantae, Streptophyta, Magnoliopsida, Poales, Poaceae. The record is from RefSeq and is a predicted model, not a curated record.